Molecule: long non-coding RNA, 2423 nt
Organism: Helianthus annuus (common sunflower)
Lineage: Eukaryota; Viridiplantae; Streptophyta; Magnoliopsida; Asterales; Asteraceae
Exons: 10
Source: RefSeq, a predicted model, not a curated record
CUUAAGCGCCAAACUCUUUUCUUUUAAUCUCCUCUCUCACAUUCUCAGUUCUCACGUUUUCUCAAAAAACCCUAAAUCAUCUACCGCCGCUUACCACUCUCCACCAUCACAUUCUUCUAUAUGAAACAAUUCUACAUGAUUCGAUCGAAACUGAAUUAAAGGUAUCACUUGAAGCUUUCACAAAGCCUAAUUCUCAGCGAGUCGAUUCUCAUGUAUCUAUGAUUCAGAUUCAGAUCCCAUCUAUCUCUGAUUCCUUUCAAAAACUCUACAUCUAUACCAGCCGAUUCUCAUCAAAGCGAUUAUCAUAAACCCUAAAUAAACCCUCAAUUGGAACCAGUCGAAUGCUAAUCCAUAAUGAUGAACGAAAAUGGCCAGAAUAUGGACCCGGGUUCGUGCGUGUUGGUGGGUUUGUACUGUGGAGAUGGUGGUGAUAAGAAAGCUUAAUCAGAUAAUGCUUGCUUAUAGAUAUUAUGAACUUGAACCAUAAACGAUAAAAGAAGACAUAUUGGAUGUUGUUAGCUGGAACGGUAAUAUUUACUCCGCAGUUAGUAUUUGGUGCAAACGCAUGCCGAAGGUUUUAUAUGAUACAAUUUGUACAUUGACAGAACUCAGGUAUUUUGUUUUUCAUGGUAACUUUUAUGCUGAUGGGGCUGAAGCAUACCAAAUGGAAUUUUGGAUCAGACAUAUUGAUGGAUCACGUUUCAAAUCAGAUGCAGAGAGACAGAAAGUGAUACAAUUUUCUUGAAGUAGCGAUAUAGAGAAGAGUUUCCGCGGAGCUAAAGAUAUAGAUACACACGAAAGACAGAGUUGGGUUAUUAUCUGACGCUAUGCACUUAAUAGCAUGCUAUAACGAUGUUAAUUCUUACAAGGCAAGUAACUUCAGACAUCACGUGCAUGUUAAUUCUUACUGUUUUUAAAAGUUAUAUGAUUUUCAGCCUUUCAUGGAUGUUUAAACAGGUCACAUAGUUGAUCUAAAUAAACACUACAAAUCCAUGUUGUUUGAUUUUCUUAACGGGUCAGACUAUCGCUUGGAUUCUUGGUUAGCUUGCAGGUGACAUUUCAUGGGUCAGGUCGCCACAUGCAUUUGUAACUUCACUUAAUCUUUUAAUCUUUUUAGUUUAAUGUUUUCUUUGUAAAAAGCUCAAAUUCAAAACCGUUAGGGUAGUGUAUGAAGCCAACUGGGAGCUAGGGGAGUGUUUGUUAAUUUCUUUUUCCCUUUUAUGUCAAUGUGGUUAACCAUUUUAUAUUACGGAUCUAAAAAGGCGAUGAAGUUGAAUCAGAAACGAUGGCGUACUUUUAUGAAAUUAGUGAAGACGUGUCAACCAUUGCAGGUUAUGGCGGCGAAGGUUAAUCAGAAACGACGACGUAUUUUGUGAAAUUGGUGAAGAGUUUGUUUCAAACUGAUGGAUGGAUCUGGUUAUCGUCAUGUUUGGCCUGUAGCACUGGCAUUGUCACAAUGGAUAGUGGUUGGUGAAGGAAUAAAGAUAGUGUGCAGGUCAUGAGGGUUGCUUGGCAUGCGGGUUUUACAGCUCAACUUCAACAAAACGGUUCAUCCAAUGCUGGUGAAGUUAGAAUUUCUUCUGGUUGUUGCAUUUUGUAACUACUUGAAAGGAAUCGCAUCUGAUCGGGAUGCAAAUAUACAGUUAAGAGCUUGAAAUGGGCCAGUCAGUACAUAUGGGCACUAUCCUUGCUGGUGAUUUUAUGGUGGCAUUUUGGCUCACCAAAUUGACUACUACUGAUUGUUGCGGGUGCUCAUCGGGACAGAACCAGAAAGUACCAACACCGGAAGAUUAAAAUAUCAAACCGAGAGAACCAAACCUAUCUAAACGAGUUUCGUUUAAGACUGUAACGAUUUGCGUUUUGGAUUCCUAAUUCUUACAAGGAGUGUAAUAGUUUUUUAGCGUUCUAAGGGAAAUGACCACCAUACCUACCUAAUAUAUAUAUAAAUUUUUUUGUUUUGUUACUUAUCUUUACUUUGCUUUCAUAAUUAAAUUGGUGUCGAAUUUUGGGUGCAGGCCAUGGAUACCAAAGACAAGGAGAGCAAAUAAUUAAUUGGACAUAGAGUUUUUGUUAUUGCUGAGAGGCAUGAGUGGAGCUGGUGGUUUGAGUGCGAAAAUCUGGUGGCAGAUGAGUUGUUAGUGGUUGUGGGCGGUGGUGAUUGUUAGCCAUACCAUUGUGGUGAUUAAGGAAUAGAGGGAUGGUUUUCAACAACCGGUGAGCCAUUUGUAGUAAAGGAGGAUGAUUUCCAGUUUCAUUCCAAGAGGAUGAAUGCGAUAGUGGAGUUAAAGAAGACAUCAUGAAAACAUCAUGAAGGUUUAGUUGACAAAAACUUAAUUUGUAACGAACAUUAUGUAAAUGUACUAUUUGGACGUGCUCAACUAUCUCAAAAUAUUAGGUUUAACAAAUCACACUUUAACGCUUCU